CACUGCGAUUGCCCUAGUAACGGCGAGUGAAGCGGCAGCAGCCCAGAUUUGGAAUCUGGCCCCCUUGCGGGGCCCGAGUUGUAAUCUGCAGAGGAAGCGUCUGGCGCGGCGCCGGCCUAGUUCCCUGGAACGGGACGCCGUAGAGGGUGACAGCCCCGUACGGUCGGCCGCCAAGCCUGUGUGUCGCUCCUUCGAAGAGUCGCGUAGUUUGGGAAUGCUGCGCAAAGUGGGAGGUAUGCUCCUCCUAAGGCUAAAUACCGGCCAGAGACCGAUAGCGCACAAGUAGAGUGAUCGAAAGAUGAAAAGUACCUUGAAAAUGGGGUUAAACAGUACGUGAAAUUGCCAAAGGGGAAGCGCUCGUGGCCAGACUCGCGCCCGGCGGAUCAUCCGGCUCUCCCGCCGGUGCACUCUGCCGGGCUCGGGCCAGCGUCGGUCGGCGCCGGUACUGAAAGGCGGUGCGAACGUGGCUCCCUUCGGGGAGUGUUAUAGCGCGCCGCGUAAUGUGCUGGCGCCGCCCGAGGACCGCGCUUUAUGCAAGGACGCUGGCGUAAUGGCCACUAGCGGCCCGUCUUGAAACACGGACCAAGGAGUCGCCCAGAGGCGCGAGUGUGCGGGUGACAAACCCCUGCGCGUAGUGAAAGCGAACGCUGGUGGGAGCCCUCACGGGCGCACCACCGACCGAUCCUGAUGUCUUCGGAUGGAUUUGAGUAUGAGCGUCUCUGGUCGGACCCGAAAGAGGGUGAACUAUGCUUGGGUAGGGUGAAGCCAGAGGAAACUCUGGUGGAGGCCCCGUUUGGGUUCUGACGUGCAAAUCGAUCCAUAAACCUGGGCAUAGCGGCGAAAGACUAA
This 849-nucleotide ribosomal RNA is filed under the name Microthecium sp. FMR 6725. RNAcentral describes it as "eukaryotic LSU rRNA". It matches the Rfam family "Eukaryotic large subunit ribosomal RNA", at positions 67 to 934 of the family's 3401-position model. Lineage: Eukaryota; Fungi; Ascomycota; Sordariomycetes; Coronophorales; Ceratostomataceae. The record is from RNAcentral.